Molecule: ribosomal RNA, 769 nt
Filed under: uncultured bacterium
Lineage: Bacteria
Description: bacterial SSU rRNA
Rfam family: Bacterial small subunit ribosomal RNA
Source: RNAcentral
CGGCCGUGAAAACCUGCAGCUUAACUGUGGGCGUGCGGUCGAUACGGGCAGACUUCAGUUCGGCAGGGGAGACUGGAAUUCCUGGUGUAGCGGUGAAAUGCGCAGAUAUCAAGAGGAACACCGGGUGGCGAAAGCGGGUCUCUGGGCCGAUACUGACGCUGAGGAGCGAAAGCAUGGGGAGCGAACAGGAUUAGAUACCCUGGUAGUCCAUGCCGUAAACGUUGGGCGCUAGGUGUGGGGAUGGGUUCCACCGUUUCCGUGCCGUAGCUAACGCAUUAAGCGCCCCGCCUGGGGAGUACGGCCGCAAGGCUAAAGCUCAAAGGAAUUGACGGGGGCCCGCACAAGCGGCGGAGCAUGUGGAUUAAUUCGAUGCAACGCGAAGAACCUUACAUGGGUUUGACAUGCACUAGACAGCCGUAGAGAUACGGUUUCCCUUGUGGUUGGUGUACAGGUGGUGCAUGGCUGUCGUCAGCUCGUGUCGUGAGAUGUUGGGUUAAGUCCCGCAACGAGCGCAACCCUUACCCUACGUUGCCAGCGGGUUAUGCCGGGGACUCGUGUGGGGACUGUCCGGGGUCAACUCGGAGGAAGGUGGGGAUGACGUCAAGUCAUCAUGCCCCUUAUGCCCAGGGCUUCACACAUGCUACAAUGGCUGGUACAGAGGGCUGCGAUACCGUGAGGUGGAGCGAACCCCUUAAAGCCGGUCUCAGUUCGGAUCGGGGUCUGCAACUCGACCCCGUGAAGUCGGAGUCGCUAGUAAUCGUAGAUCAGC